UCCAGGAGCUCACAGUCUAG
RNAcentral lists this microRNA (20 nucleotides) under Pongo pygmaeus (Bornean orangutan). RNAcentral's name for it is "ppy-miR-151b". Its record names the gene ppy-miR-151b. The record is from miRBase by way of RNAcentral. Lineage: Eukaryota; Metazoa; Chordata; Mammalia; Primates; Hominidae.